GCGGGUGUAGCUCAGUGGUAGAGCGUUGUCCUUCCAAGUCAAAUGCCGCGCGUUCGAAUCGCGUCACCCGCU
This 72-nucleotide transfer RNA is filed under the name Prasinococcus sp. CCMP1194. Its description in RNAcentral is "tRNA-Gly". It matches the Rfam family "tRNA". From Rfam's summary of the family: Transfer RNA (tRNA) molecules are approximately 80 nucleotides in length. Their secondary structure includes four short double-helical elements and three loops (D, anti-codon, and T loops). Lineage: Eukaryota; Viridiplantae; Prasinodermophyta; Palmophyllophyceae; Prasinococcales; Prasinococcaceae. The record is from RNAcentral. RNAcentral also lists the same sequence under 1 other name.